AAUUUUGUAGUUAAAGUAUAACAUUAGAAUGCAAUUCUAAAAUUAUAAAUAAGUUUAUUUAUUAAAAUUU
This 70-nucleotide transfer RNA is filed under the name Conaspidia wangi. RNAcentral describes it as "tRNA-Cys". The record is from RNAcentral. Lineage: Eukaryota; Metazoa; Arthropoda; Insecta; Hymenoptera; Tenthredinidae.